CGCCCUACGGGGGAAAAAUUUAUUGCUAUUAGAUGAGCCUAUAUUAGAUUAGCUAGUUGGCGGAGUAAUAGCCUACCAAGGCAAUGAUCUAUAGCUGAUCUGAGAGGAUGAUCAGCCACACUGGAACUGAGAUACGGUCCAGACUCCUACGGGAGGCAGCAGUGGGGAAUAUUGGACAAUGGGCGAAAGCCUGAUCCAGCCAUGCCGCAUGAGUGAAGAAGGCCUUUGGGUUGUAAAGCUCUUUUAGUGAGGAAGAUAAUGACGGUACUCACAGAAGAAGUCCUGGCUAACUCCGUGCCAGCAGCCGCGGUAAUACGGAGAGGGCUAGCGUUAUUCGGAAUUAUUGGGCGUAAAGGGCGCGUAGGCGGAUUAGUAAGUUAAAAGUGAAAUCCCAAGGCUCAGCCUUGGAAUUGCUUUUAAAGCUGCUAAUCUAGAGAUUGAAAGAGGAUAGAGGAAUUCCUAGUGUAGAGGUGAAAUUCGUAAAUAUUAGGAGGAACACCAGUGGCGAAGGCGUCUAUCUGGUUCAAAUCUGGCGCUGAGGCGCGAAGGCGUGGGGAGCAAACAGGAUUAGAUACCCUGGUAGUCCACGCUGUAAACGAUGAAUGCUAAAUAUGGGAAGUUUUACUUUCUGUAUUACAGCUAACGCGUUAAACAUUCCGCCUGGGGACUACGGUCGCAAGAUUAAAACUCAAAGGAAUUGACGGGGACCCGCACAAGCGGUGGAGCAUGUGGUUUAAUUCGAUGCAACGCGAAAAACCUUACCACUCCUUGACAUGGAAAUUAUACCUAUUCGAAGGGAU
This 800-nucleotide ribosomal RNA is filed under the name uncultured bacterium. RNAcentral describes it as "bacterial SSU rRNA". It matches the Rfam family "Bacterial small subunit ribosomal RNA", at positions 190 to 1010 of the family's 1533-position model. The record is from RNAcentral.